This 618-nucleotide ribosomal RNA is filed under the name uncultured fungus. RNAcentral's name for it is "eukaryotic LSU rRNA". It matches the Rfam family "Eukaryotic large subunit ribosomal RNA", at positions 38 to 667 of the family's 3401-position model. Lineage: Eukaryota; Fungi. The record is from RNAcentral.
GCAUAUCAAUAAGCGGAGGAAAAGAAACCAACAGGGAUUGCCCUAGUAACGGCGAGUGAAGCGGCAACAGCUCAAAUUUGAAAUCUGGCUCUUUUAGAGUCCGAGUUGUAAUUUGCAGAGGGCACUUUGGCUUUGGCAGCGGUCCAAGUUCCUUGGAACAGGACGUCACAGAGGGUGAGAAUCCCGUACGUGGUCGCUGGCUAUUGCCGUGUAAAGCCCCUUCGACGAGUCGAGUUGUUUGGGAAUGCAGCUCUAAAUGGGAGGUACAUUUCUUCUAAAGCUAAAUAUUGGCCAGAGACCGAUAGCGCACAAGUAGAGUGAUCGAAAGAUGAAAAGCACUUUGGAAAGAGAGUCAAACAGCACGUGAAAUUGUUGAAAGGGAAGCGCUUGCAGCCAGACUUGCUUGCAGUUGCUCAUCCGGGCUCUUUUGCCCGGUGCAUUCUUCUGCAGGCAGGCCAGCAUCAGUUUGGGCGGUGGGAUAAAGGUCUCUGUCACGUACCUCUCUUCGGGGAGGCCUUAUAGGGGAGACGACAUACCACCAGCCUGGACUGAGGUCCGCGCAUUUAUGCUAGGAUGCUGGCGUAAUGGCUGUAAGCGGCCCGUCUUGAAACACGGACC